This 292-nucleotide ribosomal RNA is filed under the name uncultured bacterium. RNAcentral's name for it is "partial 16S ribosomal RNA". It matches the Rfam family "Bacterial small subunit ribosomal RNA", at positions 505 to 796 of the family's 1533-position model. The record is from RNAcentral.
GUGUCAGCAGCCGCGGUAAUACGGAAUGUGCAAACGUUAUUCGGAAUCACUGGGCUUAAAGAGUCCGUAGGCGGCAUGUUAGGUGAGGUGUGAAAUCCCCCGGCUCAACCGAGGAAUUGCGCUUCAAACCGGCGUGCUUGAGGAAGAUAGAGGUGGGCGGAACUGAUGGUGGAGCGGUGAAAUGCGUUGAUAUCAUCAGGAACACCGGAGGCGAAGGCGGCCCACUGGGUCUUUUCUGACGCUGAGGGACGAAAGCUAGGGGAGCGAACGGGAUUAGAUACCCCCGUAGUCC